This is a non-coding RNA of Cordylochernes scorpioides, 109 nucleotides long. The record is from the annotation of a GenBank genome assembly. Lineage: Eukaryota; Metazoa; Arthropoda; Arachnida; Pseudoscorpiones; Chernetidae.
AUGGCCAUAUCACAUUGAAAACACCGGUUCUCGUCCGAAGUUAAGCAAUGUCGGGCCCGGUCAGUACUUGGGAGGGUGACCACUGUAAAUAAAGAUAUUAUCUUUAGCC